CUACGGGCUGCACCAGUGAGGAAUAUUGGUCAAUGGACGCAAGUCUGAACCAGCCAUGCCGCGUGCAGGAUGACGGCCCUAUGGGUUGUAAACUGCUUUUAUUAAGGAAUAAACCCCAUUACGUGUAAUGGGCUGAACGUACUUAAAGAAUAAGCAUCGGCUAACUCCGUGCCAGCAGCCGCGGUAAUACGGAGGAUGCAAGCGUUAUCCGGAUUCAUUGGGUUUAACGGGUUCGCAGGCGGCGUAUUAAGUCAGUGGUGAAAUCCCCCGGCUCAACCGGGGAACUGCCAUUGAUACUGGUAUGCUAGAGUAUAGUUGGCGUAGGCGGAAUAUUUCAUGUAGCGGUGAAAUGCUUAGAUAUGAAAUAGAACACCGAUCGCGAAGGCAGCUUACGAAACUAUAACUGACGCUCAGGAACGAAAGCGUGGGGAGCGAACAGGAUUAGAUACCCUGGUAGUC
RNAcentral lists this ribosomal RNA (459 nucleotides) under uncultured bacterium. RNAcentral describes it as "partial 16S ribosomal RNA". It matches the Rfam family "Bacterial small subunit ribosomal RNA", at positions 339 to 795 of the family's 1533-position model. The record is from RNAcentral.